Molecule: long non-coding RNA, 1001 nt
Organism: Carassius gibelio (silver crucian carp)
Lineage: Eukaryota; Metazoa; Chordata; Actinopteri; Cypriniformes; Cyprinidae
Exons: 3
Source: RefSeq, a predicted model, not a curated record
GAACUUUUGUGUCCGUGGUUAAAACAAAAUGUUCAUGCACUGAGUAGUUGGUCCCCUGACGUAAGUGUAAUUUGGGUGUGCGUCACGGCAGAUAUGUGUCCAAAUUCAGGGUCUACCCUUCAGAGGACGCAUUUGAAGGAUGUUACGUCACAGCGCCGCGACGAAGGCUGUCCAAAUUCGUAGGAUCCUUCCAUAGACAGUAAAAGAAAUGGACACAGCGACCCCAUUGGAACUCAAUUGAGACAAAUGAAGCCCAGUUUUAGCGUUUUUUUAGCACUUCCGUUUCUGACGCGCAGACUUAAACGAAGCUUGACGACGUCAGCAACCUGUCUGACAGAUGUAAAUCGUCUAAGUGGCUGUGAGUGCAAACUGCCAUCGUUAAUUUUGCAGAGACGGCAAGCUUGAGCGGGGAGUUCUUUGUCGUGAGUGAGCAGGAGUUUGUUGAUCUACAGCUGUGUACCUGAAAGUGCGGCUGGUUGAGUAUGCUUGACAGCUCUGCGGCGGUGUUGCUGCGGUGUGUAAAGGGGCUCAGCUCUCUCAGGAUGUCCUGCACCAGCUCCACAUUAUUGUCCCUCACGGCCUUCAGUCGUGUCUCCUCCAGACUCUGAGCACUCUAAGAGAUCAGUAUGUUUGGGGCUGAAAACUGACCACUGGGCUCUCCAUGAUGCCCUUGAGGAAGAUAAGAUCCAGGUCAUUGGCGGUGGCGGAGCUGGUGCUGUCACUCAGCGUGUCCAACACCUGCAGCACUGCUGGAGGGAAACGACAGAGACCUGAUUAUGCAUCUUCUCUAUUGUUUCUUCUGUGGAUUUAUGAAAGAACUGUUAUUUGGGAUUCUCUGUCAUCUUGCUUUCCUUAGAGCACCAAUACGUUACAUGGACAUUGUUAUUGGAUACAUAAACAUAGAGUGCAAAAAGUUGUUUUAUGCAUUAAUUUCAUAAAGUCUGCAGGGCCAAAAACUCUCUUAUAUAUGAUAAUACUUACAAUGCUCUGUGCUGGUGGCU